AAAUCAGAAGCUCCCUCCCUCAUCUCUCUAAACACCACACGGCUCUCCCUCUUUUCACCUUAAUCCAUCAUUUCCUCACUCAUUUCCAACAUGCAAGCUACUAGAAUUCAUCCUUGGGACAAUAAGAUGUAAUAGAAAGCCUAGUCUCCUUCUUUCCUUCUCUUUUGGCCGAACCAUUAUCCCCUAUGAGGUGUUUGGGAUGUGAUUCUUCAAGCUUGAAGUGAUAGCAUGUUGACUGUACAUGUUUGGAUUGUUGGGCGUAAGCUUGAAGAUGAGAGCUUGAGUUGGUAUAAGCUAAAAGAUGAAUUGCAAGCUGUUUGCACGUGUUGUGUGAUCUGUUAUGUGGGCCGUACCUGUUACUCUGUUGAUCAGAAUUAAGUAACUAUUGGAUAUUUAGAUUCUACGUUUAAUUCCCUUCAAUUCGGAUAUAAAUUUCGUAUGAUUCGGAUUAGAAACGGAUUCGGAAAGCUUGUUCGAUGCCAUUGUUUUCAUGUUAGUGUGAAGGAUGCUUGUACGGAUUAUGGCGAGGUUUGAUUACUUGAGCUUGUGGUUAAGAAGUUGUCAGAAAUCAAUAAGGUGAGUUCUUCGAUAGUUUAACCUACCUUUGGGUUGUGUAAUCUUAGCAAGAAAACAUGAAUUUAGUUAAGUUUAGUUUAAUAAAAUCUUUAGUACCCCAUGUCCAAUCUCGUUGAUUAUGUGUUAAUAUUGCCAUGCAAAUGAUUCUUGAUGUUUAAAUAUGUUGCUCGAAGGUAUUGUGCAUUGCAGGAACAAGUUUUGAGGUGUUUGGGGUGAAAAUUCGAGUGCUGCACUUUAGGACCCGAAGAAAUUCGCUAUUAACGAAAUAUUUCGCUAAUAGGCUUGUGAUGUCAUCCAAUUUUGCCAAAUGGCUUGUGGACUCUUGUGGGGGGUGGGGGGUCUGUGAUGUCGUCCGAUACUUUUUAUCGCAAUGUUUUCCAACUAUAAAACCCCUAAACAUAAUUGAAGCAACGCACAUUACAACGAACGAUUCUUGAAAUGAAAAUCAUGGCAAAAUUAGCAUAUAUUUCAAGAAUGGCCAAGAGAGUUUAAGCAUGUUAUUCAUGUUAUUCGGGUAACAAUGAACUAAGAGUGGGGAUAAACAUAGAGCCUCGACUAGAUUGUCGAGAACUAGAAUGCUAGCAAGAGUACUAAAGAUGUGUUUGGAAUAGCGGUGGGGGGAGAAAAAAAGCCCGUCUAGCUUAAAGCUGAGAUUUUCAGCUUCACAAAAUUCACGGUAACACUACAUUGGGAAGCGAGAAUCCUACUCCAAACGCCAAGCCAAACAUGCUAUAAGUAUGUUAAGACGUGAAGUGAUUAAUGUAGUCUCUUCACACGUGAACAAGAAUGAUCAAGUAAGUAUUUUACCGCUAAUCGAGUAGAUCACGGACCCGUGGUAAAUAAGCAAGCAUGUUUAGGUUAAACCUUUUUAUGUAUGUAUAAGAUCAAAACUUUAAGCAAGAUGUAGGUGUCGUGUCUCUUGCUAUCCACGCUAGGGGGAUACAAGAGGUUCACACCAGGGGAACGGGAUAAGCUCCGCAAGGGGGCUCUGCAUGCACGACACUGAGGGAGUCCGAUGUACCUUAGCUAGGAAUUCAUCGGUCAUGUAUGAGAUUGUACUCGGGGUUACUCCAUCCGAUACACUCCGUAAAAUGAACUCAGUUAAUACUGUUUGUUCAACGCAGUCCGAUGUACCUUAGCUAGGAAUUCAUCGGUCAUGUAUGAGAUUGUACUCGGGGUUACUCCAUCCGAUACACUCCGUAAAAUGAACUCAGUUAAUACUGUUUGUUCAACGCAGUCCGAUGUACCUUAGCUAGGAAUUCAUCGGUCAUGUAUGAGAUAACCUCUAACAUAAUGAAUGACCAUGAUAUGAUAUGAUUACGAUUAUGAUAAGUUGUGUUAUGACAAUAAUAUGUACAAGCUCUUGUAGUAGAACAAGACUAUGAAGAUACACUAUCGACGGUCUUAGUAACUCCUCGAUCGUCCAGUUUAGGAACAUGUCAUGAAUAAGUUACGUUUAGAUCUUGAUGUGUUUAGCGUAUCUCGACAAAGCAGUCCUAGGUUCCCUUGACCGCCAUGACAUGUAGAAUGCAAGACAAGCCUUAUGACUUAUGAUACAAAGAACCUUAUGACGGCUCUAGUGUGCACGACCGUCAGGGUAAACAAGCUCCACACACGUAUAAUCAACCAUCACGUUGUAUUGUAGACACGUGGUGACCCUAGGUUUUCCCCGAGGUUACCUAUAGCCUAGGAUUAGGUAGAACUCACUAAGACAUUGUGUCUCAUCCCAAUCCUUAUUUGUUUCAGAUCAGCAGGUUGAUAUGGCAGGAUUUAGCAAGCUUGUAGCCAAAUGGAUAUUCAGCAAGUGCUCGUUCGUACCCGCUGCUGGAUGAUAUGGACUUUAAAGAUGUAUCUUUCUAUGUUUUGGACGAGUAGUAUUGUAUUGAUGACUGUACGACCGCGUAUUGUUGUAUAUAAUAUUCA
RNAcentral lists this long non-coding RNA (2499 nucleotides) under Medicago truncatula (barrel medic). RNAcentral's name for it is "long non-coding RNA (MTRU_LNC000363)". The record is from RNAcentral. Lineage: Eukaryota; Viridiplantae; Streptophyta; Magnoliopsida; Fabales; Fabaceae.